GACGAACGCUGGCGGCGUGCUUAACACAUGCAAGUCGAACGGAAAGGCCCUGCUUUUGUGGGGUGCUCGAGUGGCGAACGGGUGAGUAACACGUGAGUAACCUGCCCUUGACUUUGGGAUAACUUCAGGAAACUGGGGCUAAUACCGGAUAGGAGCUCCUGCUGCAUGGUGGGGGUUGGAAAGUUUCGGCGGUUGGGGAUGGACUCGCGGCUUAUCAGCUUGUUGGUGGGGUGGUGGCUUACCAAGGCUUUGACGGGUAGCCGGCCUGAGAGGGUGACCGGCCACAUUGGGACUGAGAUACGGCCCAGACUCCUACGGGAGGCAGAAGUGGGGAAUAUUGCACAAUGGGCGGAAGCCUGAUGCAGCAACGCCGCGUGCGGGAUGACGGCCUUCGGGUUGUAAACCGCUUUCGCCUGUGACGAAGCGUGAGUGACGGUAAUGGGUAAAGAAGCACCGGCUAACUACGUG
RNAcentral lists this ribosomal RNA (468 nucleotides) under uncultured bacterium. RNAcentral's name for it is "partial 16S ribosomal RNA". It matches the Rfam family "Bacterial small subunit ribosomal RNA", at positions 28 to 507 of the family's 1533-position model. The record is from RNAcentral.